RNAcentral lists this unclassified non-coding RNA (253 nucleotides) under uncultured Rhodobacterales bacterium. RNAcentral's name for it is "contains 16S-23S intergenic spacer region". It matches the Rfam family "Bacterial small subunit ribosomal RNA", at positions 524 to 776 of the family's 1533-position model. The record is from RNAcentral. Lineage: Bacteria; Pseudomonadati; Pseudomonadota; Alphaproteobacteria; Rhodobacterales.
UACGGAGGGGGUUAGCGUUGUUCGGAAUUACUGGGCGUAAAGCGUACGUAGGCGGUUCAGAAAGUUGGGGGUGAAAUCCCGGGGCUCAACCCCGGAACUGCCUCCAAAACUCCUGGUCUGGAGUUCGUGAGAGGUGAGUGGAAUUCCGAGUGAAGAGGUGAAAUUCGUAGAUAUUCGGAGGAACACCAGUGGCGAAGGCGGCUCACUGGCUCGAUACUGACGCUGAGGUGCGGAAGCGUGGGGAGCAAACAGG